UCUUCCGGAUCGAUAUUUAUUUAAUUUUUAUAAAAAAAAUUAAAGCUACCUAUCAAAUUAUAGGUGGUCGGAUAAGGACUGUGUCAGUUGGACUCCGAGUUCAUUGCGAGCUACAUGUAAUAUACAGUUGGAAGUAGAUGCUUUCCAAAAUGGACGCCUUGCUGGGAGUACCUCACCCUCUCCCUAGGAUAUGUUUGGCAGAGGAGCACCACAGUAUUCGUCAGUAGGAAAUCCGAACGUAAAUUGACCACACUUAGCGGGGACACACUCGGAUCUCCACUACAAAGAGGAGCACUGCAGCAUUCAAAAGGGGCGAGUUAGACUUGAAGUGACGGCAUCGAGAAAGCAUCGAUCUCUUGCAGGGACGCUAUUUUUCCAAUAUUAUAAAAGAUUACGGCUACUUGGAGUAAAACUGACGUGGAGAAUUUCGUAUACUUCGCCGGGACAGUUGGCGUUUCAAAAUGGCCGCCACGACGGGACCUCCUCCCACCCCAUGAUGUAAAACAAUUUUGAGAGGAGCACCGCAGAAAUCAUAAAUGACGAGACUUGUUAUGUUCCAUAAAUCCAGAAUCCAUGCAUAUAUUACUGACACCUGCAGUUUUUCUGCGGUGACAUCCUGCGCUCCAAGGUGGACGCCUCGCUGGACACCCCGCCCCCUCUCGUAGGACCUGUUUUGCAGAGGAGCAGCGCAACAGUCACAAGUGGGGGACGCUAUUUAUUCAUAAUUAUAAAAUUAUAAAGGGAAAUCUGCAAUUUCGUGUCUGAUUAAAAUAAAGUAACUGAAUCUGAUCAUCGGUUACGGCUACUUGCAGUGAAACUACAGUGCCAGGUGUGAAAAUAAAGAAAUUUCGCGAGGACAAUCUGCGUCCAAAAUGGACGCCACGGUGGGACGCCAUUUAUAAAAACGUAACGAUCGAACCAAGAUGCUCCUUUUUUUGUACAGGCUUCUAAAAGAUUACUGCUAACUAUACAACGAUUACCUAUUAGUGGGGAAAUCUGCGUUCCAAGAUAGACGUGUUGGAUCUGGGUCUCCUCCCACGUCCAGUAGGACCAAUUUUUAUUGGAGUACCAUAGUUUGUGCGGUGAGUGUGUCUAAUGCCAUUGGCGAGGGGGCAAUAAAUUGCUUUUAAAUUGGGUAAGGAAAUGGUGUUAUGGGAUAAUUAUUACAGAAAUUUGUUCUUAUUUUUAGUAGCUAAAUUGUAGUUUUGCAUG
Molecule: small RNA, 1212 nt
Filed under: Drosophila ananassae
Lineage: Eukaryota; Metazoa; Arthropoda; Insecta; Diptera; Drosophilidae
Description: GF27573
Source: RNAcentral